RNAcentral lists this ribosomal RNA (867 nucleotides) under Triticum aestivum (bread wheat). RNAcentral describes it as "partial small subunit ribosomal RNA". Lineage: Eukaryota; Viridiplantae; Streptophyta; Magnoliopsida; Poales; Poaceae. The record is from RNAcentral.
AUGGGCGACCGGGCGUACGGGCCGUCCUCCAAGCCGGUCCCUGUGGCGGCGCCGCGGUCCGCCAACGGCACGGCGAACGGCGGCGGCGUAGGGACACCUCGGCCUCCGUCCAUGGUGCCCGGUCGCGUCCCGCCCCCGCCGAUGUACCGACCGAAGCCGAUGCAACCGCCACCUGGCCGUCGGCGGAGCGGGCGCGGGUGGUGCUGCGCGUGUUGCCUGUGGCUGACGCUGGUGUUGGUGGGGCUGGUGUUCCUUGGAGCAAUAGCGUUGGGGGUGUUCUACGUGAUUUACCACCCGGAGCUUCCGACCUUCGCCGUGACGUCGCUCCGUCUGGCGGCGCUGAACGUCUCCGACUCCGACUCCGUCACCUCCCGCAUCGAGUUCACGGUGACCGCGCGCAACCCCAACGAGAAGAUCGCGUUCGUGUACGGCGACAUCGGGGCUGCCUUCGCGGCCGACGGCACGGACAUCGGGGACGGCACCGUGUCGGGCUUCCUCCACCCCAGCCGCAACACGACGGUCAUCAAGGGGUCGGCUUCGGCGGCGGCCGCGACGGUGGACCCCGUGCAGGCGGCCAGUCUCAGAUCCAAGAAGUCCCAUGCGAUGUCAGUGGAGAUGGACUCCAAGGUGGGUUUCCAGAUCGGGCAGUUCAAGUCGAAGCGCAUCAGCGUCCGUGUGCUGUGCGGUGGCUUCAGCGCGGGGCUGGCCAAGCCGGCGCCCUCCCCGGCGCCGAUCAUCGUGGCCGCGGCGCCUGCGCCGACCCGGUCAAAAAUCAGGCUGUCGUCGUCUUCCACCGGAGGCGGCGGGUCGGCGACGACGGACGCAAAGUGUAAGCUCCGCGUCAAGAUCUGGAUUUGGACGUUUUGA